CUUAAAUUGAAGAGUUUGAUCAUGGCUCAGAUUGAACGCUGGCGGCAGGCCUAACACAUGCAAGUCGAGCGGAAACGAGUUAUCUGAGCCUUCGGGGGACGAUAACGGCGUCGAGCGGCGGACGGGUGAGUAAUGCCUAGGAAAUUGCCCUGAUGUGGGGGAUAACCAUUGGAAACGAUGGCUAAUACCGCAUAAUGCCUACGGGCCAAAGAGGGGGACCUUCGGGCCUCUCGCGUCAGGAUAUGCCUAGGUGGGAUUAGCUAGUUGGUGAGGUAAGGGCUCACCAAGGCGACGAUCCCUAGC
Molecule: ribosomal RNA, 303 nt
Filed under: Vibrio alginolyticus
Lineage: Bacteria; Pseudomonadati; Pseudomonadota; Gammaproteobacteria; Vibrionales; Vibrionaceae
Description: partial 16S ribosomal RNA
Rfam family: Bacterial small subunit ribosomal RNA
Source: RNAcentral